Molecule: ribosomal RNA, 490 nt
Filed under: uncultured bacterium
Lineage: Bacteria
Description: partial 16S ribosomal RNA
Rfam family: Bacterial small subunit ribosomal RNA
Source: RNAcentral
AUUGAACGCUGGCGGCAGGCCUAACACAUGCAAGUCGAACGGUAACAGGAAGAACCUUGCUUCUUGGCUGACGAGUGGCGGACGGGUGAGUAAUGUCUGUGAAACUGCCUGAUGGAGGGGGAUAACUACUGGAAACGGUAGCUAAUACCGCAUAACGUCUCAAGCCCAAAGAGGGGGACCUUCGGGCCUCUUGCCAUCGACUUUUCCUAGAUGGGAUUAGCUAGUAGGUGGGGUAACGGCUCACCUAGGCGACGAGCCCUAGCUGGACUGAGAGGAUGAACAGCCACACUGGAACUGAGACACGGUCCAGACUCCUACGGGAGGCAGCAGUGGGGAAUAUUGCACAAUGGGCGAAAGCCUGAUGCAGCCAUGCCGCGUGUAUGAAGAAGGCCUUCGGGUUGUAAAGUACUUUCAGCGGGGAGGAAGGGAGUAAAGUUAAUACCUUUGCUCAUUGACGUUACCCGCAGAAGAAGCACCGGCUAACUACGUG